This 168-nucleotide microRNA precursor is filed under the name Pelobates cultripes (western spadefoot toad). The record is from RNAcentral. Lineage: Eukaryota; Metazoa; Chordata; Amphibia; Anura; Pelobatidae.
CAGCAGACACAUUCCAGCCAAUCAGCAGCAGACCCUCCCAGACCCUCCCACCUCCUGGACAGCAUCAAUUUUACAUUCAUUGUGAAGCUGCAUUCUUAGUGAGCUGUCCAGGAGGUGGGAGGGUCUGGGAGGGAGGGUCUGCUGCUGAUUGGCUGGAAUGUGUCUGCU